RNAcentral lists this unclassified non-coding RNA (350 nucleotides) under soil metagenome. Its description in RNAcentral is "partial contains 5.8S ribosomal RNA, internal transcribed spacer 2, and large subunit ribosomal RNA". The stretch from base 1 to 120 matches the Rfam family "5.8S ribosomal RNA", at positions 35 to 154 of the family's 154-position model. The record is from RNAcentral.
GAUGAAGAACGCAGCAAAAUGCGAUAAGUAAUGUGAAUUGCAGAAUUCAGUGAAUCAUCGAGUCUUUGAACGCACAUUGCGCCCCCUGGUAUUCCGGGGGGCAUGCCUGUCCGAGCGUCAUUGCUGCCCUCAAGCACGGCUUGUGUGUUGGGCCCCCGUCCCCGGUUCUCCCCGGGGACGGGCCCGAAAGGCAGCGGCGGCACCGCGUCCGAUCCUCGAGCGUAUGGGGCUUUGUCACCCGCUCUGUAGGCCCGGCCGGCGCCAGCCGACACCCCAACUUUAUUUUCUAAGGUUGACCUCGGAUCAGGUAGGGAUACCCGCUGAACUUAAGCAUAUCAAUAAGCGGAGGA